RNAcentral lists this unclassified non-coding RNA (335 nucleotides) under soil metagenome. RNAcentral's name for it is "partial contains 5.8S ribosomal RNA, internal transcribed spacer 2, and large subunit ribosomal RNA". The stretch from base 1 to 120 matches the Rfam family "5.8S ribosomal RNA", at positions 35 to 154 of the family's 154-position model. The record is from RNAcentral.
GAUGAAGAACGCAGCGAAAUGCGAUAAGUAGUGUGAAUUGCAGAAUUCAGUGAAUCAUCGAAUCUUUGAACGCACAUUGCGCCCCUUGGUAUUCCAUGGGGCAUGCCUGUUCGAGCGUCAUUUGUACCCUCAAGCUUUGCUUGGUGUUGGGUGUUUGUCCUCUCCUUUGCGUUUGGACUCGCCUUAAAGCAAUUGGCAGCCAGUGUUUUGGUAUUGAAGCGCAGCACAUUUUGCGAUUCUAGCCGAUAAUACUUGCGUCCAUAAGCCUUUUUUCACUUUUGACCUCGGAUCAGGUAGGGAUACCCGCUGAACUUAAGCAUAUCAAAAGCGGAGGA